Molecule: small RNA, 1031 nt
Filed under: Oryza sativa Japonica Group (Japanese rice)
Lineage: Eukaryota; Viridiplantae; Streptophyta; Magnoliopsida; Poales; Poaceae
Description: sRNA Os01g0683525
Source: RNAcentral
CCGUGUCCAAACUUCAUGCAUAUAAGCAGCUCUACCAUGCAUAUAGCUAACGAAAGCCAACAAAAAGCUCCCACCUUCUUCACUGAAGACCUGUCUUGCAAGUAGGUGUUGUACUCACGAAUUGCCGGGAUAGCAAUUAACCACCAAAGGAUCAGCCGAUACACAACCAAGGGGUUCCUGGGAGGAAUCCAGAGACAAAAUUUCAGGAAGAAGGUGUUAAGUUCCACUGUCAUGAAACCGACGCAGAGACAGAACACUUGGAUGAAUCUCCUUGGCUCCAUGAAAGGAUGCCAUUGAUCCUUAUCCCAUUUAGCGGGUGUGAACUGACAUAAUGACCUUUUUACCUUACCCAUAAUGCUUGGCUGACGGCUCAGUCCAACCCAUUCGUAUGUUUUGCCAUCAAAGUAACGGACUGUGUGCAUCCCCGCCCAAAUACCAAACCAAUUACAUAUCAUGAUAUCCAAUAUAAUACUGUCCCACCAACACUCGUUAAAAUUUGGCAGCAUGCAGCUUUUCUAACCUCCAUGAGCUCAAAACCAACUGACAAGACCCAUAGGAGAAGUUGGUUCCGUAUCAUUACUGCCUUACCCCACCAACCCAAGACAUGGGCAAUAACAAAUUCAUCAAACAAUGUCUCCUAUAGUUUAAAUGGUCCAAGUGAAAGGCUAAUGAGUAAAUUUUAAGAAUAGCAUGUUAGUGAAUACAAUAAACUGUAGACAUAGCCAACCUGGAAAAGAAGAAAAGUUAGAGCAACAAGGUACACAACAGCCAUGCCAUGCACCAAACGCCACACAGCAGGAUGAGGCCUAAUAAGUAUCCUGUGCUUGGAGAGUGCAGUAUGCUAGGAAAACUGCGAUCAUAGCCCAGACACCCCUGAGAAAAUGUCAGUGAGUGAAUCAGUUUCCUGGCAUUAAUUUAGACUACUUACAUCAGGAGGCAUGCGCCGGCAAGGAGAACCGAGACCGUGUGUGGCUUGUAAAGCCAAGCCGUCCACGGGUCGUAUUCCUCCACGCCGCCGCCGUCCGACGGCC